RNAcentral lists this ribosomal RNA (506 nucleotides) under uncultured bacterium. RNAcentral's name for it is "partial 16S ribosomal RNA". It matches the Rfam family "Bacterial small subunit ribosomal RNA", at positions 29 to 523 of the family's 1533-position model. The record is from RNAcentral.
AUUGAACGCUGGCGGCAGGCCUAACACAUGCAAGUCGGACGGUAGCACAGAGGAGCUUGCUCCUCGGGUGACGAGUGGCGGACGGGUGAGUAAUGUCUGGGGAUCUGCCCGAUAGAGGGGGAUAACCACUGGAAACGGUGGCUAAUACCGCAUAACGUCGCAAGACCAAAGAGGGGGACCUUCGGGCCUCUCACUAUCGGAUGAACCCAGAUGGGAUUAGCUAGUAGGCGGGGUAACGGCCCACCUAGGCGACGAUCCCUAGCUGGUCUGAGAGGAUGACCAGCCACACUGGAACUGAGACACGGUCCAGACUCCUACGGGAGGCAGCAGUGGGGAAUAUUGCACAAUGGGCGCAAGCCUGAUGCAGCCAUGCCGCGUGUAUGAAGAAGGCCUUCGGGUUGUAAAGUACUUUCAGCGGGGAGGAAGGCGAUAAGGUUAAUAACCUUGUCGAUUGACGUUACCCGCAGAAGAAGCACCGGCUAACUCCGUGCCAGCAGCCGCCGCAG